Molecule: transfer RNA, 81 nt
Organism: Rubrobacter radiotolerans
Lineage: Bacteria; Bacillati; Actinomycetota; Rubrobacteria; Rubrobacterales; Rubrobacteraceae
Rfam family: tRNA
About the family: Transfer RNA (tRNA) molecules are approximately 80 nucleotides in length. Their secondary structure includes four short double-helical elements and three loops (D, anti-codon, and T loops).
Source: Rfam
GCGAGAGUGGUGGAACGGUAGACACGCUAGAUUUAGGAUCUAGUGCCCUCGGGCGUGCGGGUUCAAAUCCCGCCUCUCGCA